GACGAACGCUGGCGGCGUGCUUAACACAUGCAAGUCGAACGAGAAGAGAUGAGAAGCUUGCUUCUUAUUAAUUCGAGUGGCAAACGGGUGAGUAACGCGUAAGCAACCUGCCCUUCAGAUGGGGACAACAGCUGGAAACGGCUGCUAAUACCGAAUACGUUCUUUUUGUCGCAUGGCAGAGGGAAGAAAGGGAGGCUCUUCGGAGCUUUCGCUGAAGGAGGGGCUUGCGUCUGAUUAGCUAGUUGGAGGGGUAACGGCCCACCAAGGCGACGAUCAGUAGCCGGUCUGAGAGGAUGAUCAGCCACACUGGGACUGAGACACGGCCCAG
Molecule: ribosomal RNA, 328 nt
Filed under: uncultured bacterium
Lineage: Bacteria
Description: bacterial SSU rRNA
Rfam family: Bacterial small subunit ribosomal RNA
Source: RNAcentral